UACGAAGGGGGCUAGCGUUGCUCGGAAUCACUGGGCGUAAAGCGCACGUAGGCGGAUUGCUAAGUCAGGGGUGAAAUCCUGGAGCUCAACUCCAGAACUGCCUUUGAUACUGGCAACCUUGAGUCCGGGAGAGGUGAGUGGAACUGCGAGUGUAGAGGUGAAAUUCGUAGAUAUUCGCAAGAACACCAGUGGCGAAGGCGGCUCACUGGCCCGAUACUGACGCUGAGGAGCGAAAGCGUGGGGAGCGAACAGG
This 253-nucleotide ribosomal RNA is filed under the name uncultured bacterium. RNAcentral's name for it is "partial 16S ribosomal RNA". It matches the Rfam family "Bacterial small subunit ribosomal RNA", at positions 524 to 776 of the family's 1533-position model. The record is from RNAcentral.